RNAcentral lists this ribosomal RNA (328 nucleotides) under uncultured eukaryote. RNAcentral's name for it is "partial 18S ribosomal RNA". It matches the Rfam family "Eukaryotic small subunit ribosomal RNA", at positions 1470 to 1796 of the family's 1831-position model. The record is from RNAcentral.
CCCUUAGAUGUCCGGGGCUGCACGCGCGCUACACUGAAGGAAUCAGCGUGCUAAAACCAUUGUCGAAAGGCAUUGGUAAACCCAUUAAAAUCCUACGUGAUUGGGAUCGGGAAUUGCAAUUAUUUCCCUUGAACGAGGAAUUCCCUGUAAGUGUGGGUCAUAAGCUCGCGUUGAUUACGUCCCUGCCCUUUGUACACACCGCCCGUCGCUGCCCGGGACUGAGCCGUUUCGAGAAAAGCGGGGACUGCUGCUGUCGGGGCUUUCGGGCCUUGGCUUCGGUGGAAACCGCUUUAAUCGCAGUGGCUUGAACCGGGCAAAAGUCGUAACA